CUCGCCUGUUUUUCAAAAACAUGGUUUUUUGUUGGAAUAAAAAAUCUAAUCUGCCCAAUGAUUAAGAAUUGAAUGGCCGCGGUAUAUUGACCGUGCGAAGGUAGCAUAAUCAUUUGCUUUUUAAUUGGAGGCUGGAAUGAAUGAUUUGACGGAAAAGGUCUGUCUUAAUUUUAAGUUUUUAAGUUUACUUUUUAGUGAGAAGGCUAAAAUGUUAUCAAGGGACGAGAAGACCCUAUUAAGCUUUAUUUUUAUUAUUUUUUUGUUUUAUGUUUUCAUAUACAAAAAAUAGUGAAAAUUUUACUGGGGCGGUAGAGAAAGAGAAAGAUCUUUUUUUAAAAAUUAAAACAUUUAUGUUAAUUUUUGAUCCAUUAUUAAUGAUAAAAAGAAGAAGUUACUAUAGGGAUAACAGCGUAAUUUUUUCGGAGAGUUCAUAUCGGCGAAGAAGUUUGCGACCUCGAUGUUGAAUUAAAGAGUCAGUAAGGCGAAGAAGUUUAUAGGAGGGUCUUCGACCUUUUCC
RNAcentral lists this ribosomal RNA (517 nucleotides) under Carcinoscorpius rotundicauda (Southeast Asian horseshoe crab). RNAcentral's name for it is "partial large subunit ribosomal RNA". It matches the Rfam family "Bacterial large subunit ribosomal RNA", at positions 1795 to 2592 of the family's 2925-position model. Lineage: Eukaryota; Metazoa; Arthropoda; Merostomata; Xiphosura; Limulidae. The record is from RNAcentral.